GCCUGGAUGGUGGAAUUGGUAGACACAAGGGACUUAAAAUCCCUCGGCGCGAGCCAUGCGGGUUCGAGUCCCGCUCCGGGCACCA
This 85-nucleotide transfer RNA is filed under the name Desulfovibrio sp. Its description in RNAcentral is "tRNA-Leu". It matches the Rfam family "tRNA". Rfam says of the family: Transfer RNA (tRNA) molecules are approximately 80 nucleotides in length. The record is from RNAcentral. Lineage: Bacteria; Pseudomonadati; Thermodesulfobacteriota; Desulfovibrionia; Desulfovibrionales; Desulfovibrionaceae.